AGAGUGGGUCUGGCGACCGCCGGAGCGCCUUUGGCUUUCCGGAGGAAAGUCCGGGCAGGACAGGGCACGGUGGUGGCUAACGGCCACCCGGGGCAACCCGCGGGAAAGUGCCGCAGAAAAUACACAGCCGAUCCUGAGUUCACUUUGUGAGUUCGGGAGGCAAUGGUGAAAUGGUGCGGUAAGAGCGCACCGCGGCGAUGGUGACAUCGCCGGCAGGGUAAACCCCACCGCCUGCAAGACCAAGUGGCCGGUUACUCGGCCCGAGUAUGAGCGGUUAAGCUUACCGCUCGACCGGCGGGUAGGUCGCUUCGGGCAUCUGUUCGGAGUGCAAACUCAAAUGGGUGCCGGAGAACCGACUGGCAACAGUUGGUCAAGAUAAAUGGUCGCCGUUCGCCCUUAUCGGCGAAAUACAGAACUCGGCUUAUCGACCCGCUCUUUUU
This 440-nucleotide RNase P RNA is filed under the name Planctomycetota bacterium. RNAcentral describes it as "Planctomycetes bacterium (marine sediment metagenome) RNase P RNA component class A". It matches the Rfam family "Bacterial RNase P class A". From Rfam's summary of the family: Ribonuclease P (RNase P) is a ubiquitous endoribonuclease, found in archaea, bacteria and eukarya as well as chloroplasts and mitochondria. The record is from RNAcentral. Lineage: Bacteria; Pseudomonadati; Planctomycetota.